AACGAGUUUACCGGAUUGACGAACAACUUCUUGAAAAUUGAAAAUCGUUGAAAUUGAACACUUGAAAACUUCAAUUCAACAACUUCACAAUGUUUCACCAAUUUGCAACAAUAAAUUAAGCACUUGCACUAGAAAGAUUGAAAGAGAGCUUGAGAGAGAUUGAGAUAGAUUGAGAGAUAUUGAUGAAUUGGUGAAUAAAAAUGAAAGAAUGAUGGGGUAUUUAUAGUUGAGAAAUGCAAAAUAGUGUAAUUAUAUAAAGUUUGGGGUUAAAUUAAAGUUUGGGGGCCAAGUGGCUAUUUUUAAACUUUCAAACGGCUAGUUUUGAAAAAG
Molecule: long non-coding RNA, 330 nt
Filed under: Nicotiana benthamiana
Lineage: Eukaryota; Viridiplantae; Streptophyta; Magnoliopsida; Solanales; Solanaceae
Description: long non-coding RNA (NBEN_LNC040089)
Source: RNAcentral